GCAGUAGCCGCGGGAAUACGAAGGGGGCUAGCGUUGUUCGGAUUUACUGGGCGUAAAGGGCGCGUAGGCGGACUGAUAAGUCAGGGGUGAAAUCCCAAGGCUCAACCUUGGAACUGCCUUUGAUGCUGUUUGUCUUGAGUUCGAGAGAGGUAAGUGGAACUGCGAGUGUAGAGGUGAAAUUCGUAGAUAUUCGCAAGAACACCAGUGGCGAAGGCGGCUUACUGGCUCGAAACUGACGCUGAGGCGCGAAAGCGUGGGGAGCAAACAGGAUUAGAUACCCGCGUAGUCCCUGUCUCUUAUAC
RNAcentral lists this ribosomal RNA (302 nucleotides) under uncultured bacterium. RNAcentral's name for it is "partial 16S ribosomal RNA". It matches the Rfam family "Bacterial small subunit ribosomal RNA", at positions 508 to 807 of the family's 1533-position model. The record is from RNAcentral.